RNAcentral lists this unclassified non-coding RNA (239 nucleotides) under Hevea brasiliensis (rubber tree). Lineage: Eukaryota; Viridiplantae; Streptophyta; Magnoliopsida; Malpighiales; Euphorbiaceae. The record is from RNAcentral.
CCGAAACCACUGGUUGCCUGCUCUAGUUCUGCAUAGGAAAAUGCUCGUGGAGCAACAUCCUCACAUAACUGAACACUUCUACUGUCCUGGAUUUUUCUGUAAGUCCAGACAUGAUUUCUGUGAAUGAGGAAUCCGGAGAUGCCUAACACCAACAAAGCAAAAACAGCCAAUGUAAUGCCGGCAAUUAGGAUCUCUAUCCUAAGCUUUUUGCCUUUUGUUUCUUCAAUCAUCUGAUUAGG